GGCCUUGACAUACUAAGAACUUUCCAGAGAUGGAUUGGUGCCUUCGGGAACUUAGAUACAGGUGCUGCAUGGCUGUCGUCAGCUCGUGUCGUGAGAUGUUGGGUUAAGUCCGCAACGAGCGCAACCCUUUUCCUUAUUUGCCAGCGGGUAAUGCCGGGAACUUUAAGGAUACUGCCAGUGACAAACUGGAGGAAGGCGGGGACGACGUCAAGUCAUCAUGGCCCUUACGGCCAGGGCUACACACGUGCUACAAUGGUCGGUACAAAGGGUUGCUACCUCGCGAGAGGAUGCUAAUCUCAAAAAAGCCGAUCGUAGUCCGGAUCGCAGUCUGCAACUCGACUGCGUGAAGUCGGAAUCGCUAGUAAUCGCGGAUCAGAAUGCCGCGGUCGAAUACGUUCCCGGGCCUUGUACACACCGCCCGUCACACCAUGGGAGUUUGUUGCACCAGAAGUAGGUAGUCUAACCGCAAGGAGGACGCUUACCACGGUGUGGCCGAUGACUGGGGUGAAGUCGUAACAAGGUAGGCGUAGAUGA
This 534-nucleotide ribosomal RNA is filed under the name uncultured bacterium. RNAcentral describes it as "bacterial SSU rRNA". It matches the Rfam family "Bacterial small subunit ribosomal RNA", at positions 977 to 1509 of the family's 1533-position model. The record is from RNAcentral.